RNAcentral lists this ribosomal RNA (308 nucleotides) under Apostenus sp. MR20. RNAcentral's name for it is "partial 12S ribosomal RNA". Lineage: Eukaryota; Metazoa; Arthropoda; Arachnida; Araneae; Liocranidae. The record is from RNAcentral.
AGGUAGUAUUAUUAAACCUAUUUAUUUUGGCGGCAUUCAAUCUUAUUAGAGGAAUUUGUCUAUUAAUCGAUAACCCACGUUAAUUUUUACUUAUAAAUAAAAUUUAUAUACCGCCAUCUAAAGAACUAAUUUUAUAAUAAUAUUCUAAAUUAUAAUUAAAAAGAUAGGUCAAGGUGUAAUCUAUAUUUAAGAUAAGAUGAAUUACUAUAAAUAGUAUUUAAGGAUAAAAAUUUUAAAAAAUUUUUUAAAAAAGGAUUUAAUAGUAAUAUAAUAAUAAUAAUAUUUUAUGAAUAAAAUAAUAAAUGUGC